Molecule: long non-coding RNA, 2154 nt
Organism: Piliocolobus tephrosceles (Ugandan red Colobus)
Lineage: Eukaryota; Metazoa; Chordata; Mammalia; Primates; Cercopithecidae
Exons: 4
Source: RefSeq, a predicted model, not a curated record
GAAGAGAAGGGGAGUCCGGGCAGUUAGAAGAAGGGUGGCCUGAGGGAAAUGAUGAGAAGGGGAGGGGGAGAUAAAACAGAACACUACCAUUUUGGUUCUGUUCAACUUCCGUGGAAGUUGUGGUGGCAAACGUAAGAAAAUCGGGUCAUCGGUGGGUGCAUGUAGCGAGGGCCGGGCGGAGCAAAAACGUAGAAAAGGCCUAUCAGAAGAAAUGUUUUCGUGCGGUUCCUCGUUAGUAUAGUGGGCUAGAGGAAGAGAAACUUAUGAAAUAAACCAGGAAGAGCCAGCCAUCAAUACCAGAUGCAGUCCAGAGGACCACCAAACAAAGAAAAAGCCACCUUCUGCACCUGCCCGUGUCCUCUGAUGCCACCAGGCAAUAUGUUUGUUUGCGAUACAGAAUGCCCUUGCCAGCCCACCCCCCAACUAAUGGUAAGCCUGAUUGCAAGCUUUGUUGUACCUGUUUCUUUCUGACUCAGAGAUUCCAGCUCAGCUUAUAUUUUUCCCACUAAGUAGGCAGUGACAUUUCAUCACAGCAGGUACUUACACCUUUUGUUCUGAUUACUUAAAGCACAAGUAGGUUUUGAUAAGUGUUUGCAGGGUUUCAUUUUCAAAAGUCCUAUUUUUGUGUCAUAUUUGUUGGCUUUGAGCCCAGCUUCUCUUGCUCUGCCAACAGAGCAGGUUAUCCCUGUUUGCCCGUGGAAAUAACAUUUUCAUGAGCAAAGGCCAACCCAAAAUGCUUUCCUCCUAAAUGUUCUUCUCAUCUACAAAUCCAUAUUUGAGGAACCAUUAUUUUGUCAUUUCUUACAAAAGACUUCUUUUAUUUGAAAUUCAGAGUUGAGUAAACCCGUGGAAGAGACACAUGGUUCACUCGCUCUCUGCCCUCUCCGACACGUGUCUCAGGAUUUCUUAAACCCAGCCGAGCACUUCUGCAUACCUCUGAGACCUGGCCCCUCCUCCCUUCCCAGCCGCUUCCCCUUGGCUUCCAAAGCAGCCCCCUUCUCCUUUCUUCCUCACACACACCCUACACCCCACUCAGUUCUAUCCAACCAAUGCAUAGUCCUGGAAGGCCCUCCAUACCUACUUCUCUCACUUCUGCUCACUGCCCCCGUUCUCCAUAGAUAUAUUCCCGGUGUGUUUUUCUCUCAUUUGGUCAUUAAUUCUUCUUGACCAUGAAUGUCACAUACCUAUGUAUGUAUGUAUGUAUGUGUAUGUAUAUAUCAUAUAUGUGUAUGCAGUUAAUCCUCAUUAUUCAUGGAUUUGGCGUUUACAAGUUUGCCUACUUGCUAAAAUUUAUUUGUUAUCCCAAAAUCAAUAUUUACAGAGCUUUUGUGGUCACUCUUGGACACACUCAGAGCUGUGAAAAAUUUGAGUCUCCAGAGGCACACAGUCUCAACUGAGGUUAAACAAAGUGACCCUCUGCCUUCUUGCUUCUGCGCUUAUACUGUAAACAAGUGUCCUUUUUGCAGUCUAGUGUCACCUUGUUUAUACAUUUUUGUGCUUUUCAUUGGUGAUUUUGCAGUUUAAAAUGUUCCCCAAGUGGGUGCUGAAGUGCUGUCUAGGGUUAAGCGCAAGAAGGCGGCGAUGUGCUUUAGGGAGAAAGUAUGUGUGUUAGAUAAGCUGCAUCAAGCAUGAGUUACAGUGCUGUUGGCUGUGAUUUCAAUGUUAAUGAAUCAACUAUAUAUUACAAAAGUGUCUUUAAACAGAAAAACAUAUACAUGUGAUUUUGUAUUGAUUGACGAAAAUGUGAACAGAGGCUCUCAGGAGCCUACUUACUGUAUUUUCCCUGGGAGCAAAGGUUCAGCAUUCACUAAUGCAAUGUUUAUGGUAACUUUCUAGGAUGUAGUUACUGCAAAUCAUGAGAAUCGACUGUAUAUAUUUCUUGUCCGUCUGGUUAGUUUUUAUUUGUUUUUUUAUACCUCUCUCACUCUGUUCCCAAAGAAGUGGAGGGGGCAGUUUCUUCCAGGUAUACCUUACAAUUCUGUUGUCUCUGUUGCAGCCCCCAGCUCAGUACAAACAACAUAGCAGUCCUCAAAAGAUUCAAAAGGAAUAAAAGACAGGAAUGGAGAAAGGAAGGAACAAAAGUAGGAAAGAUGGCAGAACGAAAAGACACACCAUGGAAGCAGAGGGUGCUGCUUAUCUAAGCAGGCAUGGCUU